AAAUACUACCCCUAUAGUUUUGCACUUUAUCACUUUAGUAUCUUAUGCUUUAAAAUGUAUCAUUUUAGUAAGUGUGGUUUUAUUUUUCUCUUUUUGUUAUACUCUUUACUAUUUUUUUUUUAUUAAAUUAGUGAAAACGUUAAAAGUAAAGAGUACGAAAGUGAAUAUUCUGUAAACUAUAGAUGGGGUAUUUAAAACUUUUGUAUAUAAGUUAACGAAAAGUUAAUAGAAGGGCUAAUAAAAAGAGAAAAAGGAAACCACAGGUGUUGGCUUAAAUGGGCCAGCAUCCUGCCCUGUGGUGGGAGGUCAUGUGGGCCGAGUCAUGUUCAAAAUAACGUGAGGCUGGGUUGGGCCGAGUCAUGUUCGAAGUGGCGUGAGGCCAGAUGGGCCGAGUCACAAUCGAGACCCGUGGGCGCUGUUUCUGUACACUUUAAGUGAAUUAGUUGCAUAUUUCUAACAGCUCGAGCUUUUGGGAUUAAUGGUUAGCGCCAACGAUCCGACAAGUGGUAUCAGAGCCAAAGGUCACGGAUUCGAUUCCUGCAUGUUGCAAAUAUGUGCAGGUGCUUGAGGGGAGAUUAUUGGCUUAAAUGGGCCAGCAUCCUGCCCUGUGGUGGGAGGCCAUGUGGGCCGAGUCAUGUUCGAAAUGGCGUGAGGCUAGGUUGGGCCGAGUCAUGUUCGAAGUGGCAUGAGGCCAGGUGGGCCGAGUCACAAUCGAGACCCGUGGGCGCUGUUUCUGUACGCUUUAAGUGAAUUGGUUGCAUAUUUCUAACAAUUAUUUGAAGUUUACCCUUAAAAAAUAGUGAAGGGGAAUGUGAUAAAAAUACUACGUGGACACUUCUAUUUGCAGUGUAAAUCGCCGUAAAAUUAUAUUUAGUUAGAAAUAUGAAUAUGAAGCAAUUAAACUUUGAAUUUGAAUUUCGAGUAUUAACCAUUCAGCCUUUAGCCAAUUGUGCUAUAUACGGUUUUAAAAUUUAGAUUUUAAAAAUUUAUU
RNAcentral lists this long non-coding RNA (991 nucleotides) under Ananas comosus (pineapple). RNAcentral describes it as "long non-coding RNA (ACOM_LNC017119)". The record is from RNAcentral. Lineage: Eukaryota; Viridiplantae; Streptophyta; Magnoliopsida; Poales; Bromeliaceae.